AUGUUGCAGCAAGCCGGCACCUACGCCGCCCGCUCCCAGCUGUCAACGCCGCUCUCCCGCCUCCUGGAGGCCACGCCGCCGGCCCGUCCCGCCGUUGGCCCGCCCAAAUCCAGAUGGGGCCCAAAGGGCCCAGAUCUGGGCCGAGCGGGCUGGUUCAGGCCGCGCCGCCGCGCUGCCCCGCCGCCAACGGCGACGCCGUCGCCCAGUCGUCCACCCACGCCGCGCCAGGAUCUCCGCCGCCACGUCGGACCGCCGCCGCCGAAGAGCACCCCCCGGUGCACACCGCCCCGCGCCGGGGAGCACCGAGAGGGGAAGGGCAGGAGGCCGCCGCCGCCAGCAACCCAGGGGCCAGGCCUGGCCGCGGGUGCCGGCGACGGCGGCGGGGAGGGAGGGAGGGAAGGGGGGGCUCUAGAGGAGGGGGGGCGCCGGAGCGCGGCCGGUCGCCCGCGGGGACGACACGGUCGCGCGAGAGGAGAAGAAAGAAACGGAGGGAGUAUACUGCAGGCUAUCGACUUGCGAUAUGUUAAGCAAAUCACUGUGCCACGCAAUGAGCAAUUAGAAAAGAGUGUUUCACCAAAGAUAAAUGAUGAUGUAGUAAUGGAUGCCUUCUACACGCUACAUGUGUGGUUCCCGAAUUGGACCAUAUAUUUCCGCGAAGAUCUUCAAAUCGACUUGCGAUGUUGGGCAGAUCACAACAUUAAAAGACGAGCAUUUAGAGAAGUGUGUGCUCGCCAAGGACCCAAUGGGUUUCUUAAGAGCUGGUUGCACAUCGUUGCUGUUAGAUGCACCCAACAGGAAAAUUGUUUUUUCUUCACUUCUUGGGCCAGCAUUACUCGACGAGGAACCUAA
RNAcentral lists this ribosomal RNA (849 nucleotides) under Triticum aestivum (bread wheat). Its description in RNAcentral is "partial small subunit ribosomal RNA". The record is from RNAcentral. Lineage: Eukaryota; Viridiplantae; Streptophyta; Magnoliopsida; Poales; Poaceae.